This 295-nucleotide ribosomal RNA is filed under the name Amblyosyllis madeirensis. RNAcentral describes it as "partial 16S ribosomal RNA". It matches the Rfam family "Bacterial large subunit ribosomal RNA", at positions 2077 to 2597 of the family's 2925-position model. Lineage: Eukaryota; Metazoa; Annelida; Polychaeta; Phyllodocida; Syllidae. The record is from RNAcentral.
UAAUAUUAAUCUAAAAGACAAGAAGACCCUAUAGAGCUUCCCUUAUACUUUAAGCCCAAAGAAAUAAGGUUUUGUUGGGGCGACAGGGGAAAAACCAAAACUUCCCUUCUUAAUAGGCUUAUAAGCCUCCUACCAUACCCUUAAUAAAGGAUAUAAAAAAGCUACCUUAGGGAUAACAGGCUAAUUCCCCCUAAGAGCUCUAAUCGACGGGGGAGCUUGGCACCUCGAUGUUGGCUUAAGGUCCCUAUAUUGCGCAGAAGUAAUAAGAGGUGGUUUGUUCAACCAAUAAAUCCUU